UACGUAGGUGGCAAGCGUUAUCCGGAUUUAUUGGGCGUAAAGGGAACGCAGGCGGUCUUUUAAGUCUGAUGUGAAAGCCUUCGGCUUAACCGGAGUAGUGCAUUGGAAACUGGGAGACUUGAGUGCAGAAGAGGAGAGUGGAGCUCCAUGUGUAGCGGUGAAAUGCGUAGAUAUAUGGAGGAACACCAGUGGCGAAAGCGGCUCUCUGGUCUGUAACUGACGCUGAGGUUCGAAAGCGUGGGUAGCAAACAGG
RNAcentral lists this ribosomal RNA (253 nucleotides) under uncultured bacterium. Its description in RNAcentral is "partial 16S ribosomal RNA". It matches the Rfam family "Bacterial small subunit ribosomal RNA", at positions 524 to 776 of the family's 1533-position model. The record is from RNAcentral.